Molecule: long non-coding RNA, 772 nt
Filed under: Homo sapiens (human)
Lineage: Eukaryota; Metazoa; Chordata; Mammalia; Primates; Hominidae
Description: HSALNT0393674
Source: RNAcentral
UUGCUGCUCACCAAGAGGACUGCUUAACAGAUUUACCCAUGUGAGAGGUGGCUCGCUUACAAUGCCCACGCACCCAAAGGGCCAGCUCCUGCAUUUUUUCACUUCACCGAUGCCAAAGCCACUUUGCCCACCUUUGCAGCAGACGCAGGGAAUUAACUAUCUCAAGAAGUGGCCCUUAGUUAUUAACUGAUGGCAGCUGGUCCCAGGGUAUCCAAGAAGCUGUCAUCCAGGUCUUCUCCAAUGAAGCUACAACAACCCACAGAGCCAGCAGGGGAACCUACACCUUCGAUGUCAUAUAUGAGCAAACAGUCAUUAGAUGGGCGUCCUUCAUCUUCAUCUGCAUGGAGUGAAUAUGAUGAUUCUGUGAAGGUUUAUUGCAACAUGACUUUUUCAGCACAGCAACAGGAAAAUUUGACUCUGGGUCUGUUCUACAAAAUUAAAGCUUUCUCAGCACAAAAAACAGCAUAGACUGUGAGUGAUGGCGGCCAUCUUGGUUCAUGUGUAAAGACUGAAUUUCAGUGACUACCAACGGCUAUUUCUUAGAAUGUGGCACUUACCCUGGGUUCAGGCUGUGGUCCUUCUACUGCCCAUGAAUGAAUUGCUCCAUCUGAACAUUCGGGAACAGGCUCAAAGCCAGCUGCACUACGAGGAGCACCUCCACAAUCACAACAGAUCAUCAAAAAUGGGACCACUGGUGGUGGAGGGAUAGUAAUACUAGAGUUAGCACUGGGUGCAAAUAAAAAACAAAACAACCUGAUUUUUUAUGGUUAAA